GGAUGAACGCUAGCGGCAGGCCUAACACAUGCAAGUCGAGGGAGAGGUUAUCUUCGGGUAACCAAAACCGGCGCACGGGGUGCGUAACGCGUAUACAAUCUGCCUUUUCACAUAGGGAUAGCCCGAAAGAAAUUUGGAUUAAUACCUAAUGGUAUAUAGGAGCGGCAUCGUUUUUAUAUUAAAGCUACGGUGGUGAAAGAUGAGUAUGCGUUCUAUUAGCUAGUUGGAGAGGUAACGGCUCCCCAAGGCGACGAUAGAUAGGGGUUCUGAGAGGGAUGUCCCCCACACUGGUACUGAGAUACGGACCAGACUCCUACGGGAGGCAGCAGUGAGGAAUAUUGGACAAUGGUCGGAAGACUGAUCCAGCCAUGCCGCGUGCAGGAUGAAGGUCCUAUGGAUUGUAAACUGCUUUUGUAAGGGAAGAAUAAGGAGUACGUGUACUUUGAUGACGGUACCUUACGAAUAAGCAUCGGCUAACUCCGUGCCAGCAGCCGCGGUAAUACGGAGGAUGCGAGCGUUAUCCGGAAUCAUUGGGUUUAAAGGGUCCGUAGGCGGGCUGAUAAGUCAGAGGUGAAAGCGCUUAGCUCAACUAAGCAACUGCCUUUGAAACUGUCAGUCUUGAAUGAUUGUGAAGUAGUUGGAAUGUGUAGUGUAGCGGUGAAAUGCUUAGAUAUUACACAGAACACCGAUAGCGAAGGCAUAUUACUAACAAUUUAUUGACGCUGAUGGACGAAAGCGUGGGGAGCGAACAGG
Molecule: ribosomal RNA, 753 nt
Filed under: uncultured Capnocytophaga sp.
Lineage: Bacteria; Pseudomonadati; Bacteroidota; Flavobacteriia; Flavobacteriales; Flavobacteriaceae
Description: bacterial SSU rRNA
Rfam family: Bacterial small subunit ribosomal RNA
Source: RNAcentral